CACAAAGAAGAGAAGAUGGAAUUCUCUGCAUUUGAUUCCUUAUCAGGACUAUGACACAGCCCUUUCUUGCUCUUCAAAGAGCUUUUACAAUUUGGAGGGAAGUUCGGAGAGUUAAGCCACUUGUCUAAGGUCACAUAGCUGUGGGCAGAAGCGUGCCUAAUGUCCAGGCCUCUUUCCCCAGCAGCCCUGGAGCUUGCCUGCCCACACUGACCCUGUGUUCCAGAUGGACCACACAUGCCGGGCUGGGAACGUGCCAGGCUGGGAAAUCGGAAAUGUGUGUUUGAUCAGUGAAGGUGAAGCGACUGGGACACAGAGAGACAGAGCAGCUUGCCCGUGGUUGCACAGAUACAAGUGGAUUUGUUGAGACGUGAGUAUAGGAUGUCUGCUCUCAGGUCUGUGCUCUUACCCAGGAUACUAUGACACCUCUCACGCCUGUGGAACUGGAAGAUCUGGGAAAGCUUUUUGGAGGAAGGGACAUUAGUAGUUGACCUUGGAGGAAGAGGUAGGAGUUGGAUAUUUGCAAAUAGGGGGCAGAGCUUUUCAACCAAAGGCUAGGAGUAUUUUCUGAAUGCCAUGACAUCUGUGACUGUCCUAAGGUCACCUGUUUCUUUUGUAUGAUUUAAUGUUCUCAAGUGUAGGACUCACUCUCCAUUUGAGAAAGGAUAAAUAAUAAGGAUAAAUCAAUAAGAUCUAUUGUGUUUUACUUUUGAUUUUCCUAGAUUUUUUCUUUUUUUUUUUUCUUCUUCAUGGUGCUCAGCUGUAAGUUGCAAGAGUUUGGGAAGAUUUGACCAAAAGGCAGGAGAGAACAACAUAUUCGGAACUCAGGAUGUCUUCUUUUGGACCCACUUCCGGUGAAAUCCCCAUGCAGAUCAUAUGUCCCAUCUGUCUGCUGACACACAAAGAUAAAUGCCAUGACAAGAAAACAAGGGACAGGCUUUUUAAAAAUAUCGAAGAUGCUUGAAAGCAGAGAAUCCUUUAGGGCUUAAGAAAGACUUUUAUCUCUUAGAUUUAUUUGUCCAGGGAGUGUUAACAGCCCUCCAGGUUCAAUAUCACCCUUGAGGAACCCGGAUACAGCCACUGGUAAAACAAUUUUUACCGUCUCUAAAGCGUCUCUGAUGCACCAAGAGGCCAAUUCCUAAAAAAAAAAAAACAAAAAAACCCGACAUGCAAAUGGCAGUUACAGAGUGCAGGGCAGUGAGGAGGCACUAAGCACAUUUGCCUCGAGGGGGAAAAAAAAAUCCGUGCGAGAAUCACAGGUGUAUUUUACAAGCCUUGAGUUGAUUCCUCCAAAGGGCCAGUCAGUGCUCCUCAGGUAUCAAAGCUGUGUGCCGUGCAGCCUGGCCCUUAAAACAUUUAUGUUGUGUUUAUCAGCGACUCGCGACUCCAGGCUCCCAGCUGCGUUCACCAACUGCCUCAUUAGCCUCCUGCACCCUCCCUUCCGUUGGCUGCAGCCAGGAAUUAUAACCCUGAUUGUUGCAGGCUGUUUCUUGAACAUUUCUGUGUUUCCCUUAACUGGAAAUAUGCAAUGUAGCCACCUCCCUGCUGGGACUGGAAGAUGAGAUAUUUUGUAAGCUUGUCUCAUCCUCCAAAGCUCACACGGGGACUCUUUCCCCUGACCCUUCCCACACACUUCAUCCUCCUCCUCUGAAUGCAUAAUCACUUCCUCCCUGUGCUACUCUCACCCCCAGGGUGAUAAAGAAGGAAAACCCAGCCUAGAUGAGUCUCUUGAAUUUUAAAUAUGAAGCUUCAUUCAAUCCUUGAGUUUAGUAGGAGAAGGGACUGGCCCUGACUCUCUCUGGAUGGCUAUGAAUCCACAGACAGUAGAAAUGUGUAUUUGACCAAGAAUAAAAUUCUGAGUUCCUAUAAGAUAAUUCCUUUUGCAAAGCAUAGUGUGGACUGCGCCCUGGGCACAGCCCCCUUUACCAUUCUGCUAGUCAGGUGGCUUGUGGCCAAGUCUUCUGGUAAAGCCUUGGGAGCCAGCCCCAGAGCAGGGAGUACCCAGGCUGGGAGAAAACCGAGUGCCGCGUCCUAGAAAUUCUUCACAAAUCUCCCCCUGCCAUUGUGUGUGCAGCUGUUGGGGCACAUGCAUCUGCCCAGGCACUGCGAGCCUCAUUUUGCGCCUGGCUGACAUUUAUCUCCUGGACAAGCUCAUGUCACAUAGGUUCCAUGGAGCAAACCCAGGCAGAGCCUCACCCUGGUAACUGCCAACCAGUGACUUCAGGUUCUCUACCGUCAGAGAAGCCAGUGGAAACCUCUGCUCCCAUCUAAGACUUCAUUUUUCUUCUUCUUUCUUAUGGGGUUGAGUAGUGGUGGAAAUGAAUUCUCCUUCUUCACAAAAGUCACUCCAUGUGGCUGCUUUCUGGGAAAUGCUGGCCUAGGUUUGGCUCUGAUACCACGCUGUCUGUUUUUCUCUCCCACCCCUCCCCAGCUUUUAAAAACAAUAUUCAUGACUUUAUUUUCAUUUUCAUUUUAUUUGUAACUGUACGUUAUGCAAACAUGACAAAAGCAUGAACAAAAUUCUAAGUAAAAGGCAGGAAAAACCCUCCACAAUCCUACCACCACAAUCAGCCAAGCUGUGUUCAGCUUUUCAUCACCUUAAUCUACUCAGGCCAUAUGAAUAUAUAACUUUACCAGUGUAAUUAUAGCAGAGAUACAUUUUUGCAUCCACUUUUUUUUUAAACUGAACAUUAUAUGGUAAGCCUUUUCCCAAGCAUCACAUAGCGUUUAUAUUUAUCUUUCUAGUUUUUGCUUACCCAUUCCAUUGGAUGAAUAUUAUAUAAUUGAUUUAACCGUUUUUUGUUGUUGUUGUUGUUUACAUUUAAUCAAUAUGAAUGCUGUUGUGACUUGCUGUUAAAUGAAAGCACUAACUAUGCUUUUUCCCUUUGCCAUUAUUUCCUCAUGAUAACCUCCUAAGAGUCUCCUCUUCGUUUUUGCUUUGGAUCCAGAGGUAUUUGGUUAUUUUCCUGUUUACAGUGUCUUCCACGGUCUGACUGAGGGCUGAGAGUCUGGUGGGAACAUUCUCCCAGAUGUCCUGGGCCGUGGGAGACAGACAGGGGUGGAGGAGGGGGCACAGGCCUUUAUAAGGAAGUGGAGAAAACUCACUGUGCAGCUAAUUAGAAAGUGCCAUGAAGCAAGUCCAAACUUUAUGGCUUGCCUAGAACUGAUGACGGUUUCUAACCAGGCCUGCCUGUUCUCUCGCAGGUGUGCGCAGCCUACAAGACCAUAUGGUUUUCGGCUGGAAUGGGCCUCAUUCUUUGUUCAGCCCAUGAGCCUGUAACUGAAUAUCAGUUAAUAACUUUUCAUAAUCAUGUAGCUUGGAUCAGCUUCGAGGUCCAAGAAGAGGCUCUGUACAAAGCUCUGUCUUUUUCUGACUCUUACUGCCACUCUGACACACCUGCUGGGAGUUGCAGCCCCAUGACUGUCCCCAGGGCAAUAGCAACAUCCCAGUCCCACAGAGGGUCAGCUGCAGGUUCAACAAGUGGAGCAGCCAGGGCACAGAAUUCAUCCUUCAGCAGUUAACUUGUCUCCCUUGAGAUUUGCCGGGAGGGUUGGGGGUCCUGUGACUUUAAAAAUAAAAGAGGCGGGCAGAGCUUUUGACUAAAAAAAUAUUUUACAGCAGUUUCCAACACACAGGCCUUCUCUAUGUAAAUUGAGUCACAGGCUCUCCUGAGAGGACUGAGGUCACUUGGGAUCUUGAGAAUGGCUGGGGUGGCCCUGUGAUCAAAGGAAUUCUCCACCCUCCCCAUGAGCAGUGGGAUUUCCUCUUUUUUUGUCCCCCUCACCCACCCCACCUCUUGCUUAAGGUGAUCUGCCAUCUUUUCUGCUGUCCCCUCUCACUGGUGGCAGUGACAAGAGGAAUGGUUGGGAAGGGAGCCUGUCAAAGCUGUGCUUGGUCCCCCUUCUCCUGAGACUUUGUACUCUGUCCGCCCAGAUGUCUAGGUGGUGCUCUUGGACUGCAGUGGCCAGUGAUCCCAGGGAGCUGUGUGUCCCUUUGUUGCUAUUGGAAUAUGUCUGAUCAUGAGAAUUUUGGAAAAUGCUUCUUUUUGGGCCUCGCUGAAGACCUACUGAAUUGAAAUUUCUAAGGUCCCAAUUCCAAGUCCUGGGAAGAGUAAAUCUGAUUGAACUUGCUUAAGUGUUUAUCCAGACUAAAUACUGUGUGAGAACUGGGAAGAUGAGAGAGGGGAGGAGAAAUUUCUGAGGGACUGGUAACUGGAGAAUGGAAUUGGAAAGUUUCGAUCACCCCAAAUGUAAGAAAGGAAGAGCUGCAGUGUUUAUGUUUUCUUGAGUGGUUUUUCUGGACUGUGGCCUCUUUCAGAGAAGCAAUUCUAUCGUGCUCUAGGAUGUCCUCCCAAAGAACCUAUGUCACCGUGUGCACCAUAUUGACUGGUGGGUUCAGUGACUGCAUGAAGGCUGUGAGGUGAUAAUAUUAGUAGUAGAAAUAGUAGCAACAACAGCAACCACAAUCAUUUCAGUGGCUAGUUGUUAGAACUCCCCAGCAUUUCAUAUCCAUUACAUUAUUUAAUCAUCUCUACGAAACUGCAAAUGUGGCAGUAUGUUAUUACACAGAGAAAAAUUUAGAUAAGUUGAUUUUCUUUGUUCUUUCAUCCAAACAAGACAGUGGACUUAGGUUAUGUCUAUACAAUGCCCAACAGCUAGUCAAAUCAUGGCAAUUUGGGAGUCUCACAUAUACAUGCAAGGCAGUUUGCUGAACUCAUUUUUAUUUGUGUUAGAGUGUCUUUACUGAAAUAGUCUAGUGGUUAUUUCUCACUAUCACUAUUUAUAAAAUAGCAUCUUGUUAACUCUGCACAAAGUAAAAUAGAAGCUUCAAUACAAGGCUUGUUUUGGGCUAUGUACCCUACCAACUAAUUCAAAACAAUACAUAAAGUUUAGUCCAUUAAACCACAGGUACGAUCAAUGUCCCAUAAAGGCCAGAAAAGGGGAAAAAAAGGACUUUGUGACUAGUUACACAUAAAAAUCAAUGUGUGAGUUCCUAUAAGUUACAUAAAAACAAUAAUAGUGACGCCAUUUUAUUCCCCACACACUGUAACACAGAUAGAUCUUUAAUAUCAGCAUUCCAAAGUGUUCCAGCCAUUCUUUACUGGGUUUAAAUAAUAAAGGAAAAGACAUUUCUCAGUACUAAUAAAAUAUUAUUUAUGAUUUCCCACUCAUAAAAGCUGCAUUAUUAACCACUGUGUUCUAGUAAAUAUUUUACAUUUCGUCAAUAUUUGCAAUGGCAUUAACAACGUUCUCCUUAUGAGACUUCAGUCAGGAACACCUUCAUUGAGCACCACAUUCACCUUAUUUUUAAAUUUUCAAAGUCUAUUAUCUACAUUAGAUCUCUCCUAGGUGUCUAAAUCAAUGAGAUGUGCUGGACAAAAAAAAGUAAGUUGGAAAUUUGAGAGUUUUGAAGAGUGUUAAAGAGUUUUCAAACACUUGAGUGUGUUGAAGUCAUUUAUUGGUGUCACCUGGGACUUCUAGUGGAACCUUAAUCCUCUGGCUUUUGGUGUCUAUAACUUUGAAAUGGGACUAACACUUGUUUUCAAAAUAAUGAAUUUGAUCUUUUGCUUCCCUCUUAACACAAGUAUUGCAGUAAUCCUGAGUGCAGGAAGCUUUUCUUUACUUCGUCAGAGUAGAAAGGCCGGGUCAUGCUACAGAGAACAUGAGGGGUUUAGGGUCAGAUAGAGCUGGAUUUAAAUCCAGAGUUCAUCACUUAUUAGUUUGAGACCUUGGUUACAACACAACCUCUUUGAGCUUUAAUGUUGUCAUCUAUAAAAUAGAGAUAACAGUUAUCUCCAAGGGAAGUGAUGAAAACUAAAUAAAAUAAUCUAAUCAAAAUGCCUCGCAUAACAGGCUCUCAGGAAAUAUUGGGUUGUCGGAAAAGUCAUGACAUAUUUUUUCUAUGUUUUUUGUUGCAAAAAUGCAUCAUGACUUUUCUGACAACCCAAUAGUUUUCCUCCCCUAUUAUAUUAUGCAAGAUGUUAUAAUCAACAGUUUCUGAUAGUUUGGAGAAAAAAAUUCUUCCUGUUUUAUGGAGAUGUUUCAAGAACAUAUUAAAGAUUACUGCUUUCUUGGCUCAUGCAUGGUGAAUAGAGUGGGUUUCCUCUUUUUUUCUAUAUCCAUCUGUUCACCCUUAUAUUCAUUUAUUCACCAUACUUACAUUGAUUGCCCAUUAAGUUUUGGGAAUAUUUGAGAAAAACUGAUUCAGGGAUGUAGGUUGGGGUGGGAGUGUCUCUUGUUGCUGUAAUAACAUCAGAGAAUUUAGCUUUUACUUUAUUAAAUAAAUAUGAAUGUACAUAUACAUUUUAAGUGUCUAGCAGUCACUGGCUCAAAUCUGGGCAGGUGACCUGGACUUGGCGGGGUGGGCACAUUAGUUUACAUCCCUCACUUUUAAGAAUGAGUCUUAUUAUCUUUGGUCAGUUACGAAUGUCCUUUAACUUCAUUUUUAAUAGGAUAUUUUUGGUGCUGAGAAUCAAAUUUUUAAAAAGUGGUUGGAGCAAAAAGUCAGGGAAGCAGAUUGUUUCAUUUUCACUGUAAGUAGCUGCCAAAGUGAAUCAUCAUGACUGUAACUUCAUGUAGUCCCCAAAUCAUCAUUAGA
This is a long non-coding RNA of Hipposideros armiger (great roundleaf bat), 6595 nucleotides long. RefSeq lists it as uncharacterized. The transcript is spliced from 4 exons. NCBI's taxonomy places the organism in Eukaryota, Metazoa, Chordata, Mammalia, Chiroptera, Hipposideridae. The record is from RefSeq and is a predicted model, not a curated record.